GAUGAACGCUGGCGGCGUGCCUAAUACAUGCAAGUCGAGCGAACGGACGAGAAGCUUGCUUUUCUGAUGUUAGCGGCGGACGGGUGAGUAACACGUGGAUAACCUACCUAUAAGACUGGGAUAACUUCGGGAAACCGGAGCUAAUACCGGAUAAUAUUUUGAACCGCAUGGUUCAAAAGUGAAAGACGGUCUUGCUGUCACUUAUAGAUGGAUCCGCGCUGCAUUAGCUAGUUGGUAAGGUAACGGCUUACCAAGGCAACGAUGCAUAGCCGACCUGAGAGGGUGAUCGGCGACACUAGAACUGAGACACGGUCCAGACUCCUACGGGAGGCAGCAGUAGGGAAUCUUCCGCAAUGGGCGAAAGCAUGACGGAGCAACGCCGCGUGAGUGAUGAAGGUCUUCGGAUCGUAAAACUCUGUUAUGAGGGAAGAACAUAUGUGUAAGUAACUGAGCAGAUCGUGACGGUACCUAAUAAGAAAGCACCGGCUAACUACGUG
RNAcentral lists this ribosomal RNA (497 nucleotides) under uncultured bacterium. Its description in RNAcentral is "partial 16S ribosomal RNA". It matches the Rfam family "Bacterial small subunit ribosomal RNA", at positions 28 to 507 of the family's 1533-position model. The record is from RNAcentral.